UCACCUCUUUAAAAACCUUAUUUCCAGAUAGAUACACAUUCUGAGGUACCAGGACUUAAGCAUCUGAACUUAGGGGAAGGGGGCACAGUUUAGUCCAUAACAGCUACAAAUAAAUGAUGCGUGGGGUCUUUUUACUGGGUCAAAUAGUCAGUUGGCAGAGCAAUAAAAAGUAG
Long non-coding RNA from Mustela erminea (ermine), 173 nucleotides. RefSeq lists it as uncharacterized. The record is from RefSeq and is a predicted model, not a curated record. Lineage: Eukaryota; Metazoa; Chordata; Mammalia; Carnivora; Mustelidae. The transcript is spliced from 3 exons.